GGGUGAAAAGCCCGCUCGCCGGAAGACCAAGGGUUCCUGUCCAACGUUAAUCGGGGCAGGGUGAGUCGACCCCUAAGGCGAGGCCGAAAGGCGUAGUCGAUGGGAAACAGGUUAAUAUUCCUGUACUUGGUGUUACUGCGAAGGGGGGACGGAGAAGGCUAUGUUGGCCGGGCGACGGUUGUCCCGGUUUAAGCGUGUAGGCUGGUUUUCCAGGCAAAUCCGGAAAAUCAAGGCUGAGGCGUGAUGACGAGGCACUACGGUGCUGAAGCGACAAAUGCCCUGCUUCCAGGAAAAGCCUCUAAGCAUCAGGUAACAUCAAAUCGUACCCCAAACCGACACAGGUGGUCAGGUAGAGAAUACCAAGGCGCUUGAGAGAACUCGGGUGAAGGAACUAGGCAAAAUGGUGCCGUAACUUCGGGAGAAGGCACGCUGAUAUGUAGGUGAAGCGACUUGCUCGUGGAGCUGAAAUCAGUCGAAGAUACCAGCUGGCUGCAACUGUUUAUUAAAAACACAGCACUGUGCAAACACGAAAGUGGACGUAUACGGUGUGACGCCUGCCCGGUGCCGGAAGGUUAAUUGAUGGGGUUAGCGGUAACGCGAAGCUCUUGAUCGAAGCCCCGGUAAACGGCGGCCGUAACUAUAACGGUCCUAAGGUAGCGAAAUUCCUUGUCGGGUAAGUUCCGACCUGCACGAAUGGCGUAAUGAUGGCCAGGCUGUCUCCACCCGAGACUCAGUGAAAUUGAACUCGCUGUGAAGAUGCAGUGUACCCGCGGCAAGACGGAAAGACCCCGUGAACCUUUACUAUAGCUUGACACUGAACAUUGAGCCUUGAUGUGUAGGAUAGGUGGGAGGCUUUGAAGUGUGGACGCCAGUCUGCAUGGAGCCGACCUUGAAAUACCACCCUUUAAUGUUUGAUGUUCUAACGUGGGCCCCUUACCGGGGUUGCGGACAGUGUCUGGUGGGUAGUUUGACUGGGGCGGUCUCCUCCUAAAGAGUAACGGAGGAGCACGAAGGUUGGCUAAUCCUGGUCGGACAUCAGGAGGUUAGUGCAAUGGCAUAAGCCAGCUUGACUGCGAGCGUGACGGCGCGAGCAGGUGCGAAAGCAGGUCAUAGUGAUCCGGUGGUUCUGAAUGGAAGGGCCAUCGCUCAACGGAUAAAAGGUACUCCGGGGAUAACAGGCUGAUACCGCCCAAGAGUUCAUAUCGACGGCGGUGUUUGGCACCUCGAUGUCGGCUCAUCACAUCCUGGGGCUGAAGUAGGUCCCAAGGGUAUGGCUGUUCGCCAUUUAAAGUGGUACGCGAGCUGGGUUUAGAACGUCGUGAGACAGUUCGGUCCCUAUCUGCCGUGGGCGCUGGAGAACUGAGGGGGGCUGCUCCUAGUACGAGAGGACCGGAGUGGACGCAUCACUGGUGUUCGGGUUGUCAUGCCAAUGGCACUGCCCGGUAGCUAAAUGCGGAAGAGAUAAGUGCUGAAAGCAUCUAAGCACGAAACUUGCCCCGAGAUGAGUUCUCCCUGACUCCUUGAGAGUCCUGAAGGAACGUUGAAGACGACGACGUUGAUAGGCCGGGUGUGUAAGCGCAGCGAUGCGUUGAGCUAACCGGUACUAAUGAACCGUGAGGCUUAACCUUACAACGCCGAAG
Molecule: ribosomal RNA, 1640 nt
Filed under: Escherichia coli
Lineage: Bacteria; Pseudomonadati; Pseudomonadota; Gammaproteobacteria; Enterobacterales; Enterobacteriaceae
Description: partial 23S ribosomal RNA
Rfam family: Bacterial large subunit ribosomal RNA
Source: RNAcentral